This 498-nucleotide ribosomal RNA is filed under the name uncultured bacterium. Its description in RNAcentral is "partial 16S ribosomal RNA". It matches the Rfam family "Bacterial small subunit ribosomal RNA", at positions 30 to 523 of the family's 1533-position model. The record is from RNAcentral.
AUUGAACGCUGGCGGCAUGCUUUACACAUGCAAGUCGAACGGUAACAGGCCGCAAGGUGCUGACGAGUGGCGAACGGGUGAGUAAUGCAUCGGAACGUGCCCAGUCGUGGGGGAUAACGCAGCGAAAGCUGUGCUAAUACCGCAUACGAUCUAUGGAUGAAAGCGGGGGACCGUAAGGCCUCGCGCGAUUGGAGCGGCCGAUGUCAGAUUAGGUAGUUGGUGGGGUAAAGGCUCACCAAGCCAACGAUCUGUAGCUGGUCUGAGAGGACGACCAGCCACACUGGGACUGAGACACGGCCCAGACUCCUACGGGAGGCAGCAGUGGGGAAUUUUGGACAAUGGGCGCAAGCCUGAUCCAGCAAUGCCGCGUGCAGGAAGAAGGCCUUCGGGUUGUAAACUGCUUUUGUACGGAGCGAAAGGGCUCCCUCUAAUACAGGGGGCUCAUGACGGUACCGUAAGAAUAAGCACCGGCUAACUCCGUGCCAGCCGCCGCCGUAA